Molecule: ribosomal RNA, 253 nt
Filed under: uncultured bacterium
Lineage: Bacteria
Description: partial 16S ribosomal RNA
Rfam family: Bacterial small subunit ribosomal RNA
Source: RNAcentral
UACGUAGGUGGCAAGCGUUGUCCGGAAUUAUUGGGCGUAAAGCGCGCGCAGGCGGUCCUUUAAGUCUGAUGUGAAAGCCCACGGCUCAACCGUGGAGGGUCAUUGGAAACUGGGGGACUUGAGUGCAGGAGAGAAGAGUGGAAUUCCACGUGUAGCGGUGAAAUGCGUAGAGAUGUGGAGGAACACCAGUGGCGAAGGCGACUCACUGGACACAUAUUGACGCUGAGGUGCGAAAGCGUGGGGAGCAAACAGG